GACGAACCGAGCGAACGUUGUUCGGAAUCACUGGGCUUAAAGGGCGCGUAGGCGGCCAUCUAAGUCAGACGUGAAAUCCCCCGGCUCAACCUGGGAACUGCGUCUGAUACUGGGAGGCUAGAGUUUGGGAGAGGGAUGUAGAAUUCCAGGUGUAGCGGUGAAAUGCGUAGAGAUCAGGAAGAACAUCGGUGGCGAAGGCGCUCUGCUGGACCAUAACUGACACUCAGGGACGAAAGCUAGGGGAGCGAAUGGG
This 253-nucleotide ribosomal RNA is filed under the name uncultured bacterium. RNAcentral's name for it is "partial 16S ribosomal RNA". It matches the Rfam family "Bacterial small subunit ribosomal RNA", at positions 524 to 776 of the family's 1533-position model. The record is from RNAcentral.